AUUUGACCUCAAAUCAGGUAGGAGUACCCGCUGAACUUAAGCAUAUCAAUAAGCGGAGGAAAAGAAAAUAACAAUGAUUCCCCUAGUAACUGCGAGUGAAGAGGGACAAGCUCAAAUUUUAAAUCUGUUAGGUUUACCUAACCGAGUUGUAAUUUGAAGAGGCGUUUUCUGCGCAGCUUGGUCAGCCCAAGUCCUAUUGAAUGAGGCAUCAUGGAGGGUGAUAAUCCCGUCCGGCUGAUCAUUGCGUUUUACGAUACGCUUUCUAAGAGUCAAGUUGUUUGGGAUUGCAGCUUAAAAUGGGAGGUAAAUUUCUCCUAAGGCUAAAUAACGGCGAGAGACCGAUAGCGAACAAGUACCGUGAGGGAAAGAUGAAAAGUACUUUGAAAAGAGAGUUAAAUAGCACGUGAAAUUGUUGAAAGGGAAACGAUUGAAGCCAGUCGUACCUGCGGACAAUCAGCCUUUCGGGUGCGAUUAUGUGGAGCGUGGGGAGCUAAACACCUUCAUGCCUGCGUAUUUGUAUUCUGGGGUGUACUUGGACGUGCGGUAGGUUAACAUCAAUUUCGGACGUCAUAAAAUGGCUGGAGGAAUGUAGCUUCGGUCUCGUACUGAAGUGUUAUAGCCUUCGGCAGAUAUGGUGACCGGGAUUGAGGAUUGCAACGGAUACCUUUUGGGCUACCCGCCUGAUCUCUGAAAGUUGCUCUGGUGCCGAAAGCUUGCUUACGGUUAUCAAAGUUGACGUUCAAAAGGUUAGAACGGGUUAAAUUCGUUAAGGAUGUUGACGUAAUGGCUUUAAACGACCCGUCUUGAAACACGGACCAAGGAGUCUAACAUAUAUGCGAGUGUUU
RNAcentral lists this ribosomal RNA (845 nucleotides) under Rhizophagus intraradices. Its description in RNAcentral is "eukaryotic LSU rRNA". It matches the Rfam family "Eukaryotic large subunit ribosomal RNA", at positions 1 to 695 of the family's 3401-position model. Lineage: Eukaryota; Fungi; Glomeromycota; Glomeromycetes; Glomerales; Glomeraceae. The record is from RNAcentral.